RNAcentral lists this ribosomal RNA (1428 nucleotides) under Begonia fuchsioides. Its description in RNAcentral is "SSU rRNA". It matches the Rfam family "Eukaryotic small subunit ribosomal RNA", at positions 3 to 1403 of the family's 1831-position model. The record is from RNAcentral. Lineage: Eukaryota; Viridiplantae; Streptophyta; Magnoliopsida; Cucurbitales; Begoniaceae.
CCUGGUUGAUCAAGCCAGUAGUCAUAUGCUUGUCUUAAAGAUUAAGCCAUGCAUGUGUAAGUAUGAACUAAUUCAAACUGUGAAACUGCGAAUGACUCAUUAAAUAAGUUAUAGUUUGUUUUAUGGUACUUGCUACUCAGAUAACUGUAGUAAUUCUAGAGGACCUAGUUUGUUGCUCUGAUGAUUCAUGAUAACUUGACGGAUCGCACGACCUUUGUGCUGGCGACGCAUCAUUCAAAUUUCUGCCGUAUCAACUUUCGAUGGUAGGAUAGUGGCCUACUAUGGUGGUGACGGGUGACGAAGAAUUAGGGUUCGAUUCCGAAGAGGGAGCCUGAGAAACGGCUACCACAUCCAAGGAAGGCAGCAGGUGCACAAAUUACCCAAUCCUGACACGGGGAGGUAAUGACAAUAAAUAACAAUACUGGGCUCUUUGAGUCUGGUAAUUAGAAUGAGUACAAUCUAAAUCCCUUAACGUAUAUUUAAGGGCAAGUCUGGUGCCAGCAGCCGUGGUAAUUCCAACUCCAAUAGCGUAUAUUUAAGUUGUUGCAGUUAAAAAGCUCGUAGUUGGAUCUCGAGAUAUGUCUGUCGGUCCGCCUUAUGGUGUGCACUAUCAGUCGCGUCCUUUAUGCCAGCGAUGCGUUCCUUGCCUUAAUUGGCCAGGUCGUUCCUCCGGCGCUGUUACUUUGAAGAAAUUAGAGUGCUCAAAGCAAGCCUUUGCUCUGUAUACAUUAGCAUGAGAUAAUGUCAUAGAAUUUCAAUCCUAUUAUGUUGGCCUUUGGGAUCAGAGUAAUGAUUAACAGGGACAGUCCGGGACAUUCAUAUUUCAUAGUCAUAAGUAAAAUUCUUGGAUUUAUGAAAGAUGAACAACUGCGAAAGCAUUUGCCAAGGAUGUUUUCACUAAUCAAGAACGAAAGUUGGGGGCUCAAAGACGAUCAGAUAUCGUCCUAGUCUAAACCAUAAACGAUGCUGACUAGGGAUCGGUGAAUGUUGCUUAUAGGACAUCGCCGACACCUUCUGAGAAAUCAAAGUUUUGGGUUUUGGGGGGAGUAUGGUCGGAAGGCUGAAACUUAAAGGAAUUGACGGAAGGGCACCACCAGGAGUGGAGCCUGUGGCUUAAUUUGACUCAACACGGGGAAACUUACCAGGUCCAGACCAGUAAGGAUUGACAGACUGAGAGCUCUUUUUUUUUUGAUAAGUAAGUGUAUAAAGAAAGAAGAGAAAGAUACAGGAGACCCGAGAAAAUGAGGAGGAAACCACAAGAUGGAGACUCUCCAACAAAGAUUCGAAAAAGCUAGAACAAAGAAACAACAUAAGAAUUGGAGAGCCUCGGAAGGAGACCGGGAUGGCCAAAACAACAAAUGUAGCCAUAGCAACAAAAGGCCAGAAGACUACAAAAUAACCGAAGAGCAGAAUCCCGAAGCAUCAAGA